This 262-nucleotide ribosomal RNA is filed under the name uncultured bacterium. RNAcentral describes it as "partial 16S ribosomal RNA". It matches the Rfam family "Bacterial small subunit ribosomal RNA", at positions 57 to 305 of the family's 1533-position model. The record is from RNAcentral.
GCAAGUCGAACGAGAAAGCACCUUCGGGUGUGAGUAGAGUGGCGCACGGGUGAGUAACGCGUAGGUAAUCUGCCUCAUAGCGGGGGAUAACCAGGAGAAAUUCUGGCUAAUACCGCAUACGGUCUAUGACAUGGAAAAAAUAGACGAAAGGGUGCCUCUCCUUGGAAGCACUUACUAUGAGAUGAGCCUGCGUUGCAUUAGCUUGUUGGUGGGGUAAUGGCCUACCAAGCCUACGAUCUAUAGCUGGUCUGAGAGGAUGAUC